UCCGUUUUUGUCAUGACCCGAUUAAGCCGCUGAAGGCAUAGAACAUGAAAACACAUCGUCAGAACCCGAUUAAUACAGAACACAAACAUCGUUAACCGUCUUAACCCGAUGGAGCCAUUGGAGGCAAAGAAUAUGACUACAUAUCGUAAUAUUGUGAUUUGCACAGAACUUCUUCAGAAACAUCUUUGAGCUUGCUAACCUAACAAUGGAGCGAAACAUCAGUUGGUAUCAGAAAUGUAUAUCGGUGUCUAACAAAGAUUUAAAUAUCACGAAAUUUUACUCGGAGCCGAUAUUCAUAACAUAUUACAGAUCCUUACUGCUUAAGCCCGACCGAUCAAACGAUUUUCUUAGGAUAUAUGAGCUCGAUUUAUUCUCUUGCUGAAAUUAUUGAGAGUAUCUUGAGUUUUGGAAAUAUAUUAAUUUAUAUGCUGAGUCAUUCCGCGUCGAACACUCGACAGAAACGGACGUGCAAAGUGGUCGUUCUAUUACAAUCCGGUCCGUGUGUACGAAUAGCCAAACAAA
Long non-coding RNA from Wyeomyia smithii (pitcher-plant mosquito), 522 nucleotides. RefSeq lists it as uncharacterized. The record is from RefSeq and is a predicted model, not a curated record. NCBI's taxonomy places the organism in Eukaryota, Metazoa, Arthropoda, Insecta, Diptera, Culicidae. The transcript is spliced from 3 exons.